This 425-nucleotide ribosomal RNA is filed under the name uncultured bacterium. RNAcentral describes it as "partial 16S ribosomal RNA". It matches the Rfam family "Bacterial small subunit ribosomal RNA", at positions 354 to 796 of the family's 1533-position model. The record is from RNAcentral.
GUGGGGAAUAUUGGACAAUGGGCGCAAGCCUGAUCCAGCCAUGCCGCGUGAGUGAUGAAGGCCCUAGGGUUGUAAAGCUCUUUCAGUGGGGACGAUAAUGACGGUACCCACAGAAGAAGCCCCGGCUAACUUCGUGCCAGCAGCCGCGGUAAUACGAAGGGGGCUAGCGUUGUUCGGAUUUACUGGGCGUAAAGCGCACGUAGGCGGAUCGUUAAGUCGAGGGUGAAAUCCUGGAGCUCACCUCCAGAACUGCCUUCGAUACUGGCGAUCUUGAGUCCGGAAGAGGUGAGUGGAACUCCGAGUGUAGAGGUGAAAUUCGUAGAUAUUCGGAAGAACACCAGUGGCGAAGGCGACUCACUGGCCCGUUACUGACGCUGAGGCGCGAAAGCGUGGGGAGCAAACAGGAUUAGAAACCCUGGUAGUCC